UACGAAGGGGGCUAGCGUUGUUCGGAAUCAUUGGGCGUAAAGCGCACGUAGGCGGUCUGUUAUGUCGGAUGUGAAAGCCCUUGGCUCAACUGAGGAAGUGCAUCCGAAACUGGCAGGCUAGAGUACUAAAGAGGAUCGCGGAAUUCCCGGUGUAGAGGUGAAAUUCGUAGAUAUCGGGAGGAACACCGGUGGCGAAGGCGGCGAUCUGGGUAGAUACUGACGCUGAGGUGCGAAAGCGUGGGGAGCAAACAGG
RNAcentral lists this ribosomal RNA (253 nucleotides) under uncultured bacterium. RNAcentral describes it as "partial 16S ribosomal RNA". It matches the Rfam family "Bacterial small subunit ribosomal RNA", at positions 524 to 776 of the family's 1533-position model. The record is from RNAcentral.